CGUAGACGGUAUGUUAAGUUCGUUGUUAAAGGCUCCGGCCUAACCGGAGUACCGCAAUGAAAACUGGCGUGCUAGAGGGUGAGAGAGAGAAGUGGAAUUCCCGGAGUAGCGGUAAAAUGCGUGGAUCUCGGGAGGAACACCAAUGGCGAAGGCAGCUUCUUGGCUCAUUCCUGACGUUGAGGCACGAAAGCGUGGGGAGCAAAACA
RNAcentral lists this ribosomal RNA (206 nucleotides) under uncultured bacterium. Its description in RNAcentral is "partial 16S ribosomal RNA". It matches the Rfam family "Bacterial small subunit ribosomal RNA", at positions 570 to 775 of the family's 1533-position model. The record is from RNAcentral.